CUAGUGUUGGGUCCUCAUCAUGAGUGCGAGCCUAUGGAUGUAGAUGGUACCAGUGUGGGGACUUGUUUCCUAAUGUCACGUAGGGCAGACAGAAGACUGCAUUUUCCAGCCUCUCCCUGGCUGGGUGUGGCUGUGUGUUUAGUUCCAGGCAUUGGGCAGGGAAAAGAAGUGAUGUGUGCACCCUCAGGCCAAAGCACUCUGCAGGAAAAUAGAGUUUUAACCCCUGCCAUUGUUCAGCUCAUUUUCUCAGAGGUCACAGCCCAUUCUGCGGGUGUCAAUACCAUGAUUGCUUCUAGAAUCCCGAUGAUCGGCUGGUUCAUUUGUGUGACUUUAUUGAACAUUUGACAAGAACAUUGAUAAUAAAUGAG
This 368-nucleotide long non-coding RNA is filed under the name Equus caballus (horse). RNAcentral's name for it is "lncRNA (ENSECAG00000034704.3)". The record is from RNAcentral. Lineage: Eukaryota; Metazoa; Chordata; Mammalia; Perissodactyla; Equidae.